UACGUAGGGGGCAAGCGUUGUCCGGAUUCAUUGGGCGUAAAGAGCUCGUAGGCGGUUCAGCAAGUCGGGUGUGAAACCUCCAGGCUCAACCUGGAGACGCCACCCGAUACUGCUGUGACUUGAGUCCGGUAGGGGACCACGGAAUUCCUGGUGUAGCGGUGAAAUGCGCAGAUAUCAGGAGGAACACCGGUGGCGAAGGCGGUUCUCUGGGCCUUACCUGACACUGAGGAGCGAAAGCGUGGGGAGCGAACAGG
This 254-nucleotide ribosomal RNA is filed under the name uncultured bacterium. RNAcentral describes it as "partial 16S ribosomal RNA". It matches the Rfam family "Bacterial small subunit ribosomal RNA", at positions 524 to 776 of the family's 1533-position model. The record is from RNAcentral.